CACGUAGUUAGCCGUGGCUUUCUGGUUAGGUACCGUCAAGGUACCGCCCUAUUCGAACGGUACUUGUUCUUCCCUAACAACAGAGCUUUACGAUCCGAAAACCUUCAUCACUCACGCGGCGUUGCUCCGUCAGACUUUCGUCCGUUGCGGAAGAUUCCCUA
Molecule: ribosomal RNA, 161 nt
Filed under: uncultured bacterium
Lineage: Bacteria
Description: partial 16S ribosomal RNA
Source: RNAcentral